AUCGAACGCUGGCGGAAUGCUUUACACAUGCAAGUCGGACGGCAGCACGGACUUCGGUCUGGUGGCGAGUGGCGAACGGGUGAGUAAUGUAUCGGAACGUGCCCAGUCGUGGGGGAUAACGUAGUGAAAAUUACGCUAAUACCGCAUACGAUCUAUGGAUGAAAGCGGGGGAUCGCAAGACCUCGCGCGAUUGGAGCGGCCGAUAUCAGAUUAGGUAGUUGGUGGGGUAAAGGCCCACCAAGCCAACGAUCUGUAGCUGGUCUGAGAGGACGACCAGCCACACUGGAACUGAGACACGGUCCAGACUCCUACGGGAGGCAGCAGUGGGGAAUUUUGGACAAUGGGCGAAAGCCUGAUCCAGCCAUUCCGCGUGCAGGAUGAAGGCCCUCGGGUUGUAAACUGCUUUUGUACAGAACGAAAAGGUUUCUACUAAUACUAGGAGCUCAUGACGGUACUGUAAGAAUAAGCACCGGCUAACUACGUGCCAGCCGCCGCUGUAA
RNAcentral lists this ribosomal RNA (500 nucleotides) under uncultured bacterium. RNAcentral's name for it is "partial 16S ribosomal RNA". It matches the Rfam family "Bacterial small subunit ribosomal RNA", at positions 30 to 523 of the family's 1533-position model. The record is from RNAcentral.